Molecule: ribosomal RNA, 500 nt
Filed under: uncultured bacterium
Lineage: Bacteria
Description: partial 16S ribosomal RNA
Rfam family: Bacterial small subunit ribosomal RNA
Source: RNAcentral
AUUGAACGCUGGCGGCAUGCCUUACACAUGCAAGUCGAACGGCAGCACGGGAGCAAUCCUGGUGGCGAGUGGCGAACGGGUGAGUAAAGUAUCGGAACGUGCCCAGUCGUGGGGGAUAACGUAGCGAAAGUUACGCUAAUACCGCAUACGAUCUAUGGAUGAAAGCGGGGGAUCGCAAGACCUCGCGCGAUUGGAGCGGCCGAUAUCAGAUUAGGUAGUUGGUGGGGUAAAGGCUCACCAAGCCGACGAUCUGUAGCUGGUCUGAGAGGACGACCAGCCACACUGGGACUGAGACACGGCCCAGACUCCUACGGGAGGCAGCAGUGGGGAAUUUUGGACAAUGGGCGAAAGCCUGAUCCAGCCAUGCCGCGUGCAGGAUGAAGGCCUUCGGGUUGUAAACUGCUUUUGUACGGAACGAAAAGGUUUGGCCUAAUAAGCUGGACCCAUGACGGUACCGUAAGAAUAAGCACCGGCUAACUACGUGCCAGCAGCCGCCGCCG